This 750-nucleotide ribosomal RNA is filed under the name uncultured Thermotoga sp. RNAcentral's name for it is "bacterial SSU rRNA". It matches the Rfam family "Bacterial small subunit ribosomal RNA", at positions 28 to 774 of the family's 1533-position model. Lineage: Bacteria; Thermotogati; Thermotogota; Thermotogae; Thermotogales; Thermotogaceae. The record is from RNAcentral.
GGUGAACGCUGGCGGCGUGCCUAACACAUGCAAGUCGAGCGGGUACCCGCAAGGGUACCAGCGGCGCACGGGUGAGUAACACGUGGGUAAUCUACCCCUCGGAGGGGGAUAACCGGGGGAAACUCCGGCUAAUACCCCAUACGAUCCAACAACACAAGUUGUUGGAUGAAAGGAGCGUUUGCUCCGCCGAGGGAUGAGCCCGCGGCCCAUCAGGUAGUUGGUGGGGUAAUGGCCCACCAAGCCUACGACGGGUAGCCGGCCUGAGAGGGUGGUCGGCCACAAGGGCACUGAGACACGGGCCCUACUCCUACGGGAGGCAGCAGUGGGGAAUCUUGGACAAUGGGCGAAAGCCUGAUCCAGCGACGCCGCGUGGGGGAUGAAGCCCUUCGGGGUGUAAACCCCUGUUGCGAGGGGGGAAUAAGGCCUGGAGGAAAUGCCAGGCCGAUGACUGUACCUCGCGAGGAAGCCCCGGCUAACUACGUGCCAGCAGCCGCGGUAAUACGUAGGGGGCGAGCGUUACCCGGAUUCACUGGGCGUAAAGCGGGUGUAGGCGGCUCGGUAAGUCGGGUGUGAAAUCCCACAGCUCAACUGUGGAAUUGCGCCCGAAACUGCUGAGCUUGGGGCCGGUAGAGGGAGACGGAACUGCCGGUGUAGGGGUGAAAUCCGUAGAUAUCGGCAGGAACGCCGGUGGGGAAGCCGGUCUCCUGGGCCGCGCCCGACGCUGAGACCCGAAAGCUAGGGGAGCGAACC